Molecule: ribosomal RNA, 539 nt
Filed under: uncultured microorganism
Description: bacterial SSU rRNA
Rfam family: Bacterial small subunit ribosomal RNA
Source: RNAcentral
GAGUUUGAUCUUGGCUCAGAACGAACGUUGGCGGCGUGCUUAACACAUGCAAGUCGAACGAGAACGGUUCCUUCGGGAGCUUAGUAAAGUGGCGCACGGGUGAGUAACACGUAGAUAACCUGUCCAGGUGUUCGGGAUAGCCCUUCGAAAGGGGGGAUUAAUACCGGAUACGUUAGUCUGUUAUAAGGCAGAUUAAGAAAGGUGGCCUCUAUUUAUAAGCUAUCGCAUUUGGAGGGGUCUGCGUACCAUUAGUUUGUUGGUGGGUAAAGGCCUACCAAGACUUCGAUGGUUAGCGGGUCUGAGAGGAUGAUCCGUCACACUGGCACUGAAAACACGGGCCAGACUCCUACGGGAGGCAGCAGUGAGGAAUAUUGCGCAAUGGGGGAAACCCUGACGCAGCGACGCCGCGUGGGUGAGGAAGGCUUUCGGGUCGUAAAGCCCUGUCAGAAGGAAGAAAUGUGUAUAGGUUAAUAUCUUAUACAUUUGACGGUACCUUCAAAGGAAGCACCGGCUAACUCCGUGCCAGCCGCCGCGGUAAC